CUUGCAUCUAAACGAGAAAGGCGCCUCCUGGUUUCCUUGUGGAUCCAGACUACAGACCCUUGUUCUUCAGGCUUAGAGGUCUUUAACAGACGUCUAGUCUUCUACUCUGGCAAAUCUCAAACUAAGGCAUGAAUCAGAAUCACUUGUGGAAACAUAGGUUGUGAGCCCGACCCUCCAAAUCUCCCAGUGAGACUGAAGCAGAGCCUGCGAAUUUAUAUUUUUGACAAGUUCCAGGAAAUUCUAACGCUGAUAGAUGAGAAACCACCCUUUUCAGACCAGUGGCCUUAUUAUCUACAAUGCUGCUUAUUCCAUGAGACAAACACAUACUGAAGAGUAAGGACUUUGAAACUAGAGACCUGUCUUGAAGAAAAAACUCCACCAGAGCUUAUCAUAUACGGGAGGCAGAUGCUCGCAGCCAACCAUUGAACUGAUCACGAUGUCCCCAAUGGGAGAGUUGGAG
This is a non-coding RNA of Mus caroli (Ryukyu mouse), 460 nucleotides long. Lineage: Eukaryota; Metazoa; Chordata; Mammalia; Rodentia; Muridae. The record is from RefSeq and is a predicted model, not a curated record.